Molecule: long non-coding RNA, 529 nt
Organism: Fukomys damarensis (Damara mole-rat)
Lineage: Eukaryota; Metazoa; Chordata; Mammalia; Rodentia; Bathyergidae
Exons: 2
Source: RefSeq, a predicted model, not a curated record
GCAAGGCGUCCCUCUCUUGCAGAACCUGAGGUGACACGUGCCACAGAUGGGGACCCCUGGACCGCAGCCCAGCAGCUCAAUUGAGACCUUAAGCUGCAGUCGGUGCUUUCACACAGUCUCACACUCAAGCCUGAGCAAUUUUCUCCUCCUCAGGAGACCCAACACUUGGGUUUAUGCCCAGCAGCAGGCCAUCUGUAAAGAUCACUCGUCAGGUUUGGUCCCCACUUCACUGCUGGUACAACUUUUUAAAGCCAGCCUUUGCCUCAGCAGCUGUGAACUUUCAUACACCAGCCGACAAGUGCGGGGAAUUACUGCCCACGCUACUGCCUGAUGCCGAGAAACAGCUCGGCAUCUUUAUAUGGCAAAGUGGGGGCCACUAGGAGGGUGUUCUGCUGCACUCUUCCCUUUUCAAUUUGUAAAAAUGUAAUGGAAAAUGGAAAAAUCGGGAGUACAAAUAUUUGAUUUGGGGGGGGCUGGAGUGCAGUCCAAUGGCAGUGUGUGCAUAGCAUGCAUGAGGCAGCAUAAAAAA